GAUCGCUCAGCCGGUAGAGCAGUCCCGACACUUUAGUGUCUGGAAUGGUCGUGGGUUCGAACCCCACCCGGGUCA
RNAcentral lists this transfer RNA (75 nucleotides) under Patescibacteria group bacterium. Its description in RNAcentral is "tRNA-OTHER". The record is from RNAcentral.